This 253-nucleotide ribosomal RNA is filed under the name uncultured bacterium. RNAcentral's name for it is "partial 16S ribosomal RNA". It matches the Rfam family "Bacterial small subunit ribosomal RNA", at positions 524 to 776 of the family's 1533-position model. The record is from RNAcentral.
UACGUAGGUGGCAAGCGUUAUCCGGACUUAUUGGGCGUAAAGAGGACGCAGGCGGUCUUUUAAGUCUGAUGUGAAAGCCUUCGGCUUAACCGGAGUAGUGCAUUGGAAACUGGGAGACUUGAGUGCAGAAGAGGAGAGUGGAACUCCAUGUGUAGCGGUGAAAUGCGUAGAUAUAUGGAAGAACACCAGUGGCGAAAGCGGCUCUCUGGUCUGUAACUGACGCUGAGGUUCGAAAGCGUGGGUAGCAAACAGG